UACGGAGGGUGCAAGCGUUGUCCGGAUUUAUUGGGUUUAAAGGGUGCGUAGGCGGUCUUUUAAGUCAGAGGUGAAAUCCCACAGCUUAACUGUGGAACUGCCUUUGAAACUGGAAGACUUGAGUAUAGUUGAGGUAGGCGGAAUUUAUGAUGUAGCGGUGAAAUGCAUAGAUAUCAUAAAGAACACCGAUUGCGAAGGCA
This 200-nucleotide ribosomal RNA is filed under the name uncultured bacterium. RNAcentral's name for it is "partial 16S ribosomal RNA". It matches the Rfam family "Bacterial small subunit ribosomal RNA", at positions 524 to 723 of the family's 1533-position model. The record is from RNAcentral.